CCUACGGGGGGCUGCAGUGGGGAAUAUUGGACAAUGGGGGCAACCCUGAUCCAGCCAUGCCGCGUGUGUGAAGAAGGCCCUCGGGUUGUAAAGCACUUUCAGUGAGGAAGAACGCCUGGUGGUUAAUACCCAUCAGGAAAGACAUCACUCACAGAUGAAGCACCGGCUAACUCCGUGCCAGCAGCCGCGGUAAUACGGAGGGUGCGAGCGUUAAUCGGAAUUACUGGGCGUAAAGCGCGCGUAGGUGGCUUGAUAAGCCGGUUGUGAAAGCCCCGGGCUCAACCUGGGAACGGCAUCCGGAACUGUCAAGCUAGAGUGCAGGAGAGGAAGGUAGAAUUCCCGGUGUAGCGGUGAAAUGCGUAGAGAUCGGGAGGAAUACCAGUGGCGAAGGCGGCCUUCUGGACUGACACUGACACUGAGGUGCGAAAGCGUGGGUAGCAAACAGGAUUAGAUACCCUGGUAGUC
RNAcentral lists this ribosomal RNA (465 nucleotides) under Vreelandella stevensii. RNAcentral's name for it is "partial 16S ribosomal RNA". It matches the Rfam family "Bacterial small subunit ribosomal RNA", at positions 338 to 795 of the family's 1533-position model. Lineage: Bacteria; Pseudomonadati; Pseudomonadota; Gammaproteobacteria; Oceanospirillales; Halomonadaceae. The record is from RNAcentral.